RNAcentral lists this transfer RNA (76 nucleotides) under Rhodospirillaceae bacterium. RNAcentral describes it as "tRNA-Ala". It matches the Rfam family "tRNA". Rfam says of the family: Transfer RNA (tRNA) molecules are approximately 80 nucleotides in length. Their secondary structure includes four short double-helical elements and three loops (D, anti-codon, and T loops). Further hydrogen bonds mediate the characteristic L-shaped molecular structure. tRNAs have two regions of fundamental functional importance: the anti-codon, which is responsible for specific mRNA codon recognition, and the 3' end, to which the tRNAs corresponding amino acid is attached (by aminoacyl-tRNA synthetases). tRNAs cope with the degeneracy of the genetic code in two manners: having more than one tRNA (with a specific anti-codon) for a particular amino acid; and 'wobble' base-pairing, i.e. permitting non-standard base-pairing at the 3rd anti-codon position. The record is from RNAcentral. Lineage: Bacteria; Pseudomonadati; Pseudomonadota; Alphaproteobacteria; Rhodospirillales; Rhodospirillaceae.
GGGGUCGUAGCUCAGUUGGAAGAGCAACGCGUUCGCAAUGCGUAGGUCGGGAGUUCGAUUCUCCCCGACUCCACCA